AUGUCGUACUCAUGGCGAAGUAACUUAAAAGGAGUAAGGCUCCUAAAUGAAGGUAUAAUAUGGCGCAUAGGAGAUGGCCGAAGUGUUAAUAUCUGGAAAGACCCUUGGUUACCAAGGAAUUAUACUCGAAGGCCAAUUACUCAAAGAGGGCAAAAUAUAAUUCAGAAAGUCUCGGAGUUGAUAGAUCCAGUAACAGGAGGUUGGGAUGAAGCCAUGGUCAAUCAGACAUUUUGCGAGGAGGAUGCCAAUUUAAUUCUGCAGAUCCCUAUAAGCGAGGACUUAGAAGACAAGGUAGCAUGGCACUAUGAUAAAAAGGAUGGAGGGCACUGUUUUUUCAAAUGCAAGCAAGCUAAGCAGGUUUGGAGGGCUACACAAUUGGAGGAUAUGAGGGCACUGCUUGUAGAGUGCAUCAACCCACAAGAUGCUCUUACAGAAAUUUUUAAGCGCAAAGAAGAGGAGAUCUCCAAGAUAUGCACACUCCUAUGGUUGUUGUGGUACAAGAGAAACAGAGAAAAUGCUAGAGAAUGUUCAAGAAAUUGCAUAGAAAUGGUGUCAUCAGUUGAACAACAUAAGAUGGAGUUUUUGGAAUAUAGCAAGAAGGGGAAACAGAAUAGGGGUGUGGCUAAACAGAGCAGAUGGAUACCCCCACUUGGUCCUUACCCGAAGAUAAAUAUUGAUGAGGGGUUAGUUGAAGCUGCUGGAGCAGGGAAGCUGCAGAAUUUAUCGGACGCUCUUCAUGCAGAAACUACAACAUUUAUCAUGGCGGCAAGACGAGCCGGAGAGAUAGGGUGCGGUCAGGUUAUUUUCGAAACUGAUGCUUUAGCACUAAAGCAAGCUGUGUUGGGUGUUGAAUAUGACCUCUCUUUACAUGGUGCUCUGUUCUUGGAAGCCAAGUAUUUACUGAGUAUGUAUUUUGAUGAUGCAACUGUAAAUUGGUGCUCAAGAUCAUGUAAUUCUGUUGCCCAUGUACUCGCGUCUUAUGGCGCAGGUUUGGAGGCUGGAAGCCAGCACCACUGGCUUACAGAACUCCCAGACUUUGUAUCAUCUGCAGUUGCUGGCGAUUUAGCCAGCCUGUGA
Molecule: ribosomal RNA, 1077 nt
Filed under: Triticum aestivum (bread wheat)
Lineage: Eukaryota; Viridiplantae; Streptophyta; Magnoliopsida; Poales; Poaceae
Description: partial small subunit ribosomal RNA
Source: RNAcentral